UUUAGAGGAAGUAAAAGUCGUAACAAGGUUUCCUUCCCCGGGCCCCCGCCUGCCGAAGCCUCGCCGCAGCGACUCGAAAUAACUGCGUAGUUGGUAGCGCUGCCUACCGGCCACACUGUCACUGCGCUGGAAGCCUCUUCAGGGGUUAUCAGCGACCUGAAUCCUACCGGAUCCGGGCUCACAGAUCAAACGACGGUGGCCGCCUUCCUGGGGCGGUUUAGAUAUGACCGAUUCUCCAGAGGUUCCUCUGGAGAAACCUUUUAGUUCCGUAGGUGAACCUGCGGAAGGAUCAUUACCGAGAUAGGGUUCCUUCGGGGCCCGACCCUCCCACCCUUUGUGUAUUUUACCUCUGUUGCUUCGGCGGCCCCCGUGGGGUAGGUGGUGUUAGACCCGCCGAGCCCGGCCCGCCAAGAGGCCUUUUUCUAAUUCUGAAUUUAUCAGUGACGUCUGAGCACAUUGCAAAAAUUAAAACUUUCAACAACGGAUCUCUUGGUUCUGGCAUCGAUGAAGAACGCAGCGAAAUGCGAUAAGUAAUGUGAAUUGCAAAAUUCAGUGAAUCAUCGAAUCUUUGAACGCACAUUGCGCCCUCUGGUAUUCCGGGGGGCAUGCCUGUUCGAGCGUCAUUACACCUCUCAAGCUCAGCUUGGUAUUGGGCUUCCGUCCCUCGUUGGGCGAGUCUGAAAAUUAGUGGCAGUGCAGCCGGUACUCAAGCGCAGUAACAUUAUUAUAUCCCGCUUUGGAGUUACCGGGUGAACCCGCCAGACAACCCUAAAUU
This 775-nucleotide ribosomal RNA is filed under the name Aspicilia aquatica. RNAcentral describes it as "eukaryotic LSU rRNA". The stretch from base 470 to 623 matches the Rfam family "5.8S ribosomal RNA". The record is from RNAcentral. Lineage: Eukaryota; Fungi; Ascomycota; Lecanoromycetes; Pertusariales; Megasporaceae.